UCCACUGUCUUACAACAUUCAAGAUGGCGGAGGAAAGGGGUAAAUGUGCGUUCAGUUGUGAUCAGCAUGAUCUCGACACCAAAAUAACGAUUACCGUUAUUUCUAAAUUGGCCCUGAAAUAACGAAUAUCAUAAUUUCAGUGCAUGUCUGAGACCUUCGGGCUCGAAGCUUGGGAACUAGUAUUCAGGGAAAGAUAAAAUGGCGGCUUACGGCGGCGAAGGAAAUCUCAGUAGUUUAAUAUUUAGCGUGAAAAGGCUUGGGUGUUGUGAUCUGGUUCUCAAGUAAAAAAAAAAUCACGGUCUGCAAUGGCCCUACCACCUUUUGAACAACAAGAAAACAUUGAAACGGUGGUAAAAAGCAGCAAGUUUCGAAGUCUAAACGAAAGAUGGGUGGUCAUUAUCCAUUACUUUUGGAAGUCGAUGCUGAUGAGAAAGAAAAAAUGUUUAUGAUUAUUUCUUCUCUCGAACAUUUUACUAUUUAGGUACCAAAUAAUCUUGAUACUGAAGACCAUUGCAUCCUAUUAUGAAAAAUUUACCCCUGAUUGCUUUGUCAACAUGUAUGAUGUAAUAUACCUUGAGAUUUGUGGGAUUUUCACAUGUAAACUAGAAAUACCUGUAGAGGGUAAUGAUGUACUUAAUGCAAAGUGUUUUGGUACAAAGUCUGCUUUGCUGUAAUCUACCUGAAGGUGCUUUUUAUAUGCUAGUAACACUUGCACAGCCCAGUCAAAAUGUUCUUUAGUAGUAGUCAAGCUGGCUGUUGUAAUUAUAGGCAGCAGAGGCCAAACCUCAUCCUGAAAAGCAGUCUGAAAGGUGUGAAGUCAGUGGAAGAUACUUCAUUGUAGGUGGCCAAAUUGCAGGCUGUCAGCCCAUUUUGAGUGUUAAACAGGUCAAAGUACCGAAAAAAACCUCUGUGAUAACUUGGUAGUCUAAGAUGUAAAAAUUUUUAAUAAUAAGGUAAAGCUUGAUCAUUCUUAAGAGUUUGCAUCUGUUCUAAAAGUUUUGGGGAGAGUUAGGGGAGCAUUAUUUAUACAAAUGUAUUUAAAAAGUAACAAAAAAAUAAAAAGAACUAGGGCAAAAUCCCAAUUUGCUUUAAAAGUUUAUUUUAUUAAGAGCAUAAUUCUGGAUAUAGCUUGGGAUUUGUGUGAUUUUCACAAAUUGUUAGGUUGUUAUGUAAACUUAAUUUACAGGAACCUUGUUAGUUUUCAGCUUCAAGAACAAGUACAUAAUUGCAGGAAAAGCUUGAAGCUUGAAAAAUUGACUGAUGAAACUGGAACAGAUGUCAUGAGAUUUGUACAAUAGGUUGGCCUGGGAGGGACCAAGAAUUAAAGAAUUCAUUGAUUCUCUUACACCUUUUGUCUGCAUAGUGUGCUUCUGUAGAGCUUAGUUAUUGCUGUA
Pocillopora verrucosa is the source of this 1394-nucleotide non-coding RNA. Lineage: Eukaryota; Metazoa; Cnidaria; Anthozoa; Scleractinia; Pocilloporidae. The record is from RefSeq and is a predicted model, not a curated record.